UACGUAUGGGGCGAGCGUUGUCCGGAAUGAUUGGGCGUAAAGGGUACGUAGGCGGUUUAUUAAGUCGAUGGUGAAAGGGUGGGGCUCAACCCCAUAAAGCAUUCGAAACUGGCAAACUUGAGUUGUGGAGAGGAAAGUGGAAUUCCAAGUGUAGCGGUGACAUGCGUAGAUAUUUGGAGGAACACCAGUGGCGAAGGCGACUUCCUGGACACAGACUGACGCUGAGGUACGAAAGCGUGGGGAGCAAAUAGG
This 252-nucleotide ribosomal RNA is filed under the name uncultured bacterium. RNAcentral describes it as "partial 16S ribosomal RNA". It matches the Rfam family "Bacterial small subunit ribosomal RNA", at positions 524 to 776 of the family's 1533-position model. The record is from RNAcentral.